Molecule: long non-coding RNA, 218 nt
Filed under: Theobroma cacao (cacao)
Lineage: Eukaryota; Viridiplantae; Streptophyta; Magnoliopsida; Malvales; Malvaceae
Description: long non-coding RNA (TCAC_LNC006236)
Source: RNAcentral
GAUUCUAUGGACCAGCCUAUUAGAGGGGCACAGAAUCCGGAUAUAUAUAUGUACCUCGGUUGGAGAGGCGCGUAGGGUAUCUCCUGAGGUAUGGUUAGAGUUCACGUCACGUCGAACCACCUCGUGAUGAUGAACUCCGCUAACGCCAAGGAACGGCUGUGUUUUUCUCAAACUAAAAAUAUGUUUUACGUGUAUAUGAAAUUUUAACAGCCUUGGCG